GAUGAACGCUGGCGGCGUGCCUAAUACAUGCAAGUCGAGCGAACAGAUAAGGAGCUUGCUCCUUUGACGUUAGCGGCGGACGGGUGAGUAACACGUGGAUAACCUACCUAUAAGACUGGGAUAACUUCGGGAAACCGGAGCUAAUACCGGAUAACAUAUUGAACCGCAUGGUUCAAUAGUGAAAGGCGGCUUUGCUGUCACUUAUAGAUGGAUCCGCGCCGUAUUAGCUAGUUGGAAAGGUAACGGCUUACCAAGGCAACGAUACGUAGCCGACCUGAGAGGGUGAUCGGCCACACUGGAACUGAGACACGGUCCAGACUCCUACGGGAGGCAGCAGUAGGGAAUCUUCCGCAAUGGGCGAAAGCCUGACGGAGCAACGCCGCGUGAGUGAUGAAGGUCUUCGGAUCGUAAAACUCUGUUAUCAGGGAAGAACAAAUGUGUAAGUAACUGUGCACAUCUUGACGGUACCUGAUCAGAAAGCCACGGCUAACUACGUG
Molecule: ribosomal RNA, 497 nt
Filed under: uncultured bacterium
Lineage: Bacteria
Description: partial 16S ribosomal RNA
Rfam family: Bacterial small subunit ribosomal RNA
Source: RNAcentral